AAGAGUAUCUCCCUAACACCUGAA
This 24-nucleotide non-coding RNA is filed under the name Arabidopsis thaliana (thale cress). The record is from RNAcentral. Lineage: Eukaryota; Viridiplantae; Streptophyta; Magnoliopsida; Brassicales; Brassicaceae.